GUGAAGGUGGUUUUGAGAUAACGGAGAAGCGAGAGAAUGAAGCGGAGGUAGUAGUAGUAGUAGCAGCCAUUUUUGCUGCGAGCUUGUAGUUUUCAGUGAACAAGAGGAAGAAGAUAGCGUUUUUUCUAACUGUAAACGACGUCGUUAUGAGUGAUUUGCGUCCUACGUGUACAUUUGUCGAUGGCUGAAUAAUGAAUAACUGAAU
RNAcentral lists this long non-coding RNA (205 nucleotides) under Trifolium pratense (red clover). Its description in RNAcentral is "long non-coding RNA (TPRA_LNC012444)". Lineage: Eukaryota; Viridiplantae; Streptophyta; Magnoliopsida; Fabales; Fabaceae. The record is from RNAcentral.